Molecule: long non-coding RNA, 3514 nt
Filed under: Gallus gallus (chicken)
Lineage: Eukaryota; Metazoa; Chordata; Aves; Galliformes; Phasianidae
Description: lncRNA (ENSGALG00010012440.1)
Source: RNAcentral
GUGAACAUGGGAAAGAACAGUGACAUGCACAAGUUAGGCAAUCUCCUGCCACUGUACUGCAAUGACCUCAACCAUCAAUAUUGUGCAAGAUAGAGCACGGGUUGCACGUGCUGCAGACCAAAAGGGCAGAAAACCAAGGAAACCAAAUAUUCCCACUGACCUGCUACAGAGUCAGACACAAGAAUGAGACUUGCACAGAGAGGGAGCUGAUUUGUCUUCUGUUUGUUGUCAGUCACGGUCUAGCUGAGCCACAAGUAUUGGGGAACCUUCUACUAGAGCAAGGAAGGCAGUGAAGCUUGAACUAAAGAUCUGAAGCACUUUGCUGUGUCAUCUAUCUUCAUUGUCCCUUCUGGGAGCCACAGAAAUGGUACACACCCCAUCUGGGAACCAAAAACACCUAGCAAGUGCAGCCUGAAUGAGGGCUUGAAAUGCUCUGCCAUUUCAUUUAUCUUCUCCGUCCCUCCUGGCAACCAGAGAAACAGUGGCUGAAGGCACACCCCACCCAGAAACCAGAGACAGCAAGUGCUGUACCCUGAGCAGAAGCCUGAAAGCAAGCCAUUCCAUUCAUCCCCUGCUUCCUGUCUGCAGCACUGUACCUGGCACAGGAGUCACUUAGAAUAUGCAAACUAGGAGGAUGGAACUUCCAGAAAUUCUCACAGAGAAAAUAUAAGGUGACAGAAGCAUACAUCCGAACACCCAAACUGACCUUCUGUGGAUGAGAUAUUCCCCUAACUUUCAUUGAUAUCCCCACUGGUUUUUAAACUCACCCAUGUAAGUUGGAUUAUUUGACCCGAGAUACUCUUUCAGAGUUGAUUGUGUCAGUUAUUAGAGGUUGCCAGUCCUUGGGUCUGGAGUGGUGGGGAGUUGUGAGAAGCCAUUUGGUGACUGUCAACAUCACUAUGUUAUUCCUGUCUAUCCCUAUGUAUUGGAUUGGUUCCAAUUGGACCUUAACCAAAAUUAAACGAAAUAUGUGCUUAGGCUCUUUGGUGUUUCUAAAAUCCACUUUUUUUUUUUUCUCAUGCUUUAUUCCAACCACUAAAUAAACAUUCCUUCUUUUGUGGGAGCUGCUUGUCAGUAUUAGAAGAAAAACAGGUGCCUGAAACCAGUCAGAUCUACAGGAUGAUAGGCAUUAGUACAUACAAGAUAACACUUGCCUCCUAACAAAAAGUAAAAGAAGAGCAAGAUUGCACACAAACACAAGCCUAGGAUCAGACAAGUCAGGAGCCAUAGGUGAUGUCAGUCUUGUAACACUGAAAACAAAAUGUCAGGAUUCUGGUAAAAAAUAAUGGUGAUUCCACUGUCUGCUCUGAAACUUAGAACUCUACAAAAAAAAUUAAAUAAAAUCCUUUUGAGUUUAUUUCCUUUUGAAUACAGUACAUUCUUUGCCCAACAGUAAAGUAGUAAAAUUAUAUUUGCUGACAUUUAGAAGCUUCUUUAUAAAACUUUGACCCUUGGAAGUCAGUGAGAUUUUUAUCACCUGACUUAUGGAAUAAAAAAAUGUUAAAAAAAAAAAAAUCUGUUUCCUUUUACUACAUAAAACUUACCAACAAUUUCCUUCAGUACAUUCCAAGUGCACUCAAGAGCUACCAAGUAAAUAGGAUUUGGAGUAGACCCUGGGCCCUCAGCUUCUCCUGUUUCAUGCAGAAGCAGGAAAAUUUCUUCUGUGACACCAUCUUCAGUUUUCUUGAUGUGUUCCACAUGACAAAUUCUUUGAAUACAGACUGGAAGAUGAACAGCCACUGUUCUCUGGUCCGGACUUAGACACUUUCAAUAGAAAUAAAACAGACUUGUGAUACUUUUGUAAUAUAUUUUUGAUGGUCGACAAGUCUUUUUCCUUGCAAUUCUGCAAAGCUGUUAAUAAGGACAUUCCAUUGGGAACUGGCAGUGUUCCAGCCUUUGUAGUUGUAGAAAAUCCAUAUACAAAAUAAUAUUUGGUAGUUCUGAGGUCUUUUACAGGUAUUACUCUUAAGUCUUUGUCUCAUGUGAACUUUGAACUAGCUCACUCAGGUUAAUUAAAGCAGCCUUUGUAGGUAAAAUUACACCAACAAUUGCAGUACUGUUAUUCAAAUUUUCAAAAAUAUACUUCUUCUCCAGUGUGUGUAUUAUGUUGAAAGCUCAUAAUACUAUGAUGUCAUAUGUAAAGAUAGUAUCUCCUACACUCACUUGGGAUGACCUGUAUAACUAACUCAUAACCAUGCUAUUUGUAAGCAAUGGAAUCAUCCCAUAUUUAUUUUAUGAAAAUCUUUAUACUGUGUAGUAUUUAUGCAUGCCUAUGCUGAUCUGAGAUUGUCUUUGGGGAGUGCAUUACGUGUUAUGUUAUACUGUUUUUAUUAUAAGCAAUACAGGUAGUAAUGCCUACAGUUAAUGUUGCUUGACACUUUCUAGUAUAAGAUAUUUUUAUGUUGUUAUCUAUCUUCACUGAAUUUAAGCCAUUUGGACUACAAUACUUCAGUUUGGAUACAUGCCUCUUGAUGAAUUCUUUAAAGGAAUAUUUUACCUAAAAAGGUUCUGCCUGGGGCUUAUCCCCAGAACAAUAUUCAUGAAAAGUAUGCUCCUCUUUGAAUAGCUUUUGUAGCUUCUCAUUAUUGGGUUGUGCCAACAGUACAGCUUGAUAGAGGCUUAACUCUUUGUGCAAGUACUCACUGGAGUGUCCUCAUAUCUUGUUUGCUUACUUGUUUUCCUUCCUGCUACACAGUGAUCUAAUGGCAAAGAAUAAAAGGUAGAUAUAAGGAACACAGUUCCUUCGAAGUACAGAAGUGAUCGGUUGUUGAAUUUCAUUGAGUCAAGGUGACAUAAAUACACAAACACGGUUGGCAUGUAAUUAGUUUAUUGGUUUGAUUAGACGUGGAUUUGGACCUUUUUUAAAAGAAAAAUUAAUAUAUUGCUGCAACAUAAAAGUUGUUAUUGCCAAAAUAAAAAAUGAAUACUUUGCCUGUGUUAAUUCUUGACCUUCUAGAGAAAAAUCAUUCCUCAUUGUAUUGCUGUAGAAAGACUGAUAGACAUGCAUCCAUGCCCCCCUUCUAAUGCAGUCUUCUUGUGAGGACAGUUAACACAGUCCAAGGUGACAUAGAGGCUUGAUGGCAAAACAAAGUGUUUACCAGUGAAUUACCCUUGUCUAUUGACAGCAAAACUUGAAUAAUGAUACCAAAAGAUCCCCAGCUACCAGCUGCUACUAAUUAACAGAACAAAUCCAGUAGAAUUCAACCUAUCCUAAUAGAGGCAAACUUCUGGAACUAGGCCUUUUGUUCCAUUGACACCAAUCUAAACAACAAGGCUAUUGACUGCAUGCAUGUGCCAGCUUUUGUUAGUGGGGGCUACCUGAAAAGAUGAAAAUUGCAUGAAUCUGCAAUUUCAGAUUCAUUAAUUCUCAGCUGAAAAAACUCCAUCUGUGAACUGACAUGAGAGGAGUGGUCAAGGUGCAUUAAGAUUCCAUGUAAAAGGAUCAUAUUGUCAGUCUAGCCCUAGGAAAUGAAAUAAAUUUUGUUUCCAGUGGCAAUACUAAAUAGGUCUCAAG